CAGGAUGUGCUUGCACAUCGCUGACGAGUGGCGGACGGGUGAGUAAUGCUUGGGAACUUGCCUUUGCGAGGGGGAUAACAGUUGGAAACGACUGCUAAUACCGCAUAAUGUCUUCGGACCAAACGGGGCUUCGGCUCCGGCGCAGAGAGAGGCCCAAGUGAGAUUAGCUAGUUGGUAAGGUAAAGGCUUACCAAGGCGACGAUCUCUAGCUGUUCUGAGAGGAAGAUCAGCCACACUGGGACUGAGACACGGCCCAGACUCCUACGGGAGGCAGCAGUGGGGAAUAUUGCACAAUGGGGGGAACCCUGAUGCAGCCAUGCCGCGUGUGUGAAGAAGGCCUUCGGGUUGUAAAGCACUUUCAGUUGUGAGGAAAAGUUGGUAGUUAAUACCUGCCAGCCGUGACGUUAACAACAGAAGAAGCACCGGCUAACUCCGUGCCAGCAGCCGCGGUAAUACGGAGGGUGCGAGCGUUAAUCGGAAUUACUGGGCGUAAAGCGCACGCAGGCGGUUUGUUAAGCUAGAUGUGAAAGCCCCGGGCUCAACCUGGGAUGGUCAUUUAGAACUGGCAGACUAGAGUCUUGGAGAGGGGAGUGGAAUUCCAGGUGUAGCGGUGAAAUGCGUAGAUAUCUGGGAGGAACAUCAGUGGCGAAGGCGACUCCCUGGCC
This 665-nucleotide ribosomal RNA is filed under the name uncultured bacterium. RNAcentral describes it as "bacterial SSU rRNA". It matches the Rfam family "Bacterial small subunit ribosomal RNA", at positions 70 to 734 of the family's 1533-position model. The record is from RNAcentral.